RNAcentral lists this ribosomal RNA (2925 nucleotides) under Klebsiella sp. FDAARGOS_511. RNAcentral's name for it is "23S ribosomal RNA". It matches the Rfam family "Bacterial large subunit ribosomal RNA". The record is from RNAcentral. Lineage: Bacteria; Pseudomonadati; Pseudomonadota; Gammaproteobacteria; Enterobacterales; Enterobacteriaceae.
GGGUUGUGAGGUUAAGCGACUAAGCGUACACGGUGGAUGCCCUGGCAGUCAGAGGCGAUGAAGGACGUGCUAAUCUGCGAAAAGCGUCGGUAAGGUGAUAUGAACCGUUACAGCCGGCGAUGUCCGAAUGGGGAAACCCAGUGCAAUUCGUUGCACUAUCGUUUGAUGAAUACAUAGUCAAACGAGGCGAACCGGGGGAACUGAAACAUCUAAGUACCCCGAGGAAAAGAAAUCAACCGAGAUUCCCCCAGUAGCGGCGAGCGAACGGGGAGCAGCCCGGAGUCUGAAUCAGCUUGUGUGUUAGUGGAAGCGUCUGGAAAGUCGCAGGGUACAGGGUGAUACUCCCGUACACUAAAACGCACAGGCUGUGAACUCGAAGAGUAGGGCGGGACACGUGGUAUCCUGUCUGAAUAUGGGGGGACCAUCCUCCAAGGCUAAAUACUCCUGACUGACCGAUAGUGAACCAGUACCGUGAGGGAAAGGCGAAAAGAACCCGGCGAGGGGAGUGAAAAAGAACCUGAAACCGUGUACGUACAAGCAGUAGGAGCCCACUUGUUGGGUGACUGCGUACCUUUUGUAUAAUGGGUCAGCGACUUAUAUUCUGUAGCAAGGUUAACCGUAUAGGGGAGCCGCAGGGAAACCGAGUCUUAACUGGGCGUUAAGUUGCAGGGUAUAGACCCGAAACCCGGUGAUCUAGCCAUGGGCAGGUUGAAGGUUGGGUAACACUAACUGGAGGACCGAACCGACUAAUGUUGAAAAAUUAGCGGAUGACUUGUGGCUGGGGGUGAAAGGCCAAUCAAACCGGGAGAUAGCUGGUUCUCCCCGAAAGCUAUUUAGGUAGCGCCUCGUGAAUUCAUCUUCGGGGGUAGAGCACUGUUUCGGCUAGGGGGUCAUCCCGACUUACCAACCCGAUGCAAACUACGAAUACCGAAGAAUGUUAUCACGGGAGACACACGGCGGGUGCUAACGUCCGUCGUGAAGAGGGAAACAACCCAGACCGCCAGCUAAGGUCCCAAAGUCAUGGUUAAGUGGGAAACGAUGUGGGAAGGCCCAGACAGCCAGGAUGUUGGCUUAGAAGCAGCCAUCAUUUAAAGAAAGCGUAAUAGCUCACUGGUCGAGUCGGCCUGCGCGGAAGAUGUAACGGGGCUAAACCAUGCACCGAAGCUGCGGCAGCGACACUAUGUGUUGUUGGGUAGGGGAGCGUUCUGUAAGCCGUUGAAGGUGGCCUGUGAGGGUUGCUGGAGGUAUCAGAAGUGCGAAUGCUGACAUAAGUAACGAUAAUGCGGGUGAAAAACCCGCACGCCGGAAGACCAAGGGUUCCUGUCCAACGUUAAUCGGGGCAGGGUGAGUCGACCCCUAAGGCGAGGCCGAAAGGCGUAGUCGAUGGGAAACAGGUUAAUAUUCCUGUACUUGGUGUUACUGCGAAGGGGGACGGAGAAGGCUAUGUUGGCCGGGCGACGGUUGUCCCGGUUUAAGCGUGUAGGUGUGUGUUCCAGGUAAAUCCGGUUCACUUUAACACUGAGGCGUGAUGACGAGGCACUACGGUGCUGAAGUGACAAAUGCCCUGCUUCCAGGAAAAGCCUCUAAGCAUCAGGUAACAUCAAAUCGUACCCCAAACCGACACAGGUGGUCAGGUAGAGAAUACCAAGGCGCUUGAGAGAACUCGGGUGAAGGAACUAGGCAAAAUGGUGCCGUAACUUCGGGAGAAGGCACGCUGAUAUGUAGGUGAAGUGAUUUACUCAUGGAGCUGAAAUCAGUCGAAGAUACCAGCUGGCUGCAACUGUUUAUUAAAAACACAGCACUGUGCAAACACGAAAGUGGACGUAUACGGUGUGACGCCUGCCCGGUGCCGGAAGGUUAAUUGAUGGGGUUAUCCGUAAGGAGAAGCUCUUGAUCGAAGCCCCGGUAAACGGCGGCCGUAACUAUAACGGUCCUAAGGUAGCGAAAUUCCUUGUCGGGUAAGUUCCGACCUGCACGAAUGGCGUAAUGAUGGCCAGGCUGUCUCCACCCGAGACUCAGUGAAAUUGAACUCGCUGUGAAGAUGCAGUGUACCCGCGGCAAGACGGAAAGACCCCGUGAACCUUUACUAUAGCUUGACACUGAACACUGGUCCUUGAUGUGUAGGAUAGGUGGGAGGCUUUGAAGUGUGGACGCCAGUCUGCAUGGAGCCAUCCUUGAAAUACCACCCUUUAAUGGCUGGUGUUCUAACGUGGGCCCCUAAUCGGGGUUGCGGACAGUGUCUGGUGGGUAGUUUGACUGGGGCGGUCUCCUCCUAAAGAGUAACGGAGGAGCACGAAGGUCAGCUAAUCCUGGUCGGACAUCAGGAGGUUAGUGCAAUGGCAUAAGCUGGCUUGACUGCGAGCGUGACGGCGCGAGCAGGUGCGAAAGCAGGUCAUAGUGAUCCGGUGGUUCUGAAUGGAAGGGCCAUCGCUCAACGGAUAAAAGGUACUCCGGGGAUAACAGGCUGAUACCGCCCAAGAGUUCAUAUCGACGGCGGUGUUUGGCACCUCGAUGUCGGCUCAUCACAUCCUGGGGCUGAAGUAGGUCCCAAGGGUAUGGCUGUUCGCCAUUUAAAGUGGUACGCGAGCUGGGUUUAGAACGUCGUGAGACAGUUCGGUCCCUAUCUGCCGUGGGCGCUGGAGAAUUGAGGGGGGCUGCUCCUAGUACGAGAGGACCGGAGUGGACGCAUCACUGGUGUUCGGGUUGUCAUGCCAAUGGCAUUGCCCGGUAGCUAAAUGCGGAAGAGAUAAGUGCUGAAAGCAUCUAAGUACGAAACUUGCCCCGAGAUGAGUUCUCCCUGACUCCUUGAGAGUCCUGAAGGAACGUUGAAGACGACGACGUUGAUAGGCCGGGUGUGUAAGCGCAGCGAUGCGUUGAGCUAACCGGUACUAAUGAACCGUGAGGCUUAACCUUACAACGCCGAAG